UGAACAUCUGAGACUCUUGAUUUAGGAAAGAAAAACUGCUGAUCAUCUGCAAAAGCAAUUAAUUAUUUUCUACCUUUCUCUCUUCUCACCCACAGUGAAAAAGUGAAGGUGUAGACAUGAUGAACAAUGAUAAAGGUGACAGAAAUGUUCAUGUACAAAGUCACGCUUCUUUCCAAAGCUGCUAGGAUGGAAAUCUAAAAAGCAGUGGAAGAGUGAGCUCAGCAUCUCCAGUGAGGCAGUGUCUGUUCACUCUGUGCAAAGACCUGUGCACUGUUUCCACAGCCCUUGGCAGGAGAUUACCACAAAGUGAUAUUUUAAAGCAGGGAUUAAGAUACAGAGAUUACAAAGUCUUCCUUGUAGCCUGUGUAUGAGGAAUAGAAUACGGGGCCCUAUAAAAAACCUCUCAUGUUUA
Molecule: long non-coding RNA, 412 nt
Filed under: Cyanistes caeruleus (blue tit)
Lineage: Eukaryota; Metazoa; Chordata; Aves; Passeriformes; Paridae
Description: lncRNA (ENSCCEG00000008840.1)
Source: RNAcentral